AAUUCGAUGCAACGCGAAGAACCUUACCUAGGUUUGACAUCCGGAAGACUUCCCGAAAGGAAGGGUGCCCUUCGGGGAAUUCCGAGACAGGUGCUGCAUGGCUGUCGUCAGCUCGUGCCGUGAGGUGUGGGUUAAGUCCCGCAACGAGCGCAACCCUAUUGCCAGUUGCUACCAGGUAAUGCUGGGCACUCUGGUGAGACUGCCCCGGUUAACGGGGAGGAAGGUGGGGACGACGUCAAGUCAUCAUGGCCCUUACGCCUAGGGCUACACACGUACUACAAUGGCGCAUACAAAGGGCAGCGAUACCGCGAGGUGGAGCCAAUCCCAAAAAGUGCGUCCCAGUCCGGAUUGCAGUCUGCAACUCGACUGCAUGAAGUUGGAAUCGCUAGUAAUUCGAGAUCAGCAUGCUCGGGUGAAUGCGUUCCCGGGCCUU
This 433-nucleotide ribosomal RNA is filed under the name uncultured Desulfovibrio sp. RNAcentral's name for it is "bacterial SSU rRNA". It matches the Rfam family "Bacterial small subunit ribosomal RNA", at positions 948 to 1382 of the family's 1533-position model. The record is from RNAcentral. Lineage: Bacteria; Pseudomonadati; Thermodesulfobacteriota; Desulfovibrionia; Desulfovibrionales; Desulfovibrionaceae.